This 271-nucleotide ribosomal RNA is filed under the name uncultured bacterium. RNAcentral's name for it is "partial 16S ribosomal RNA". It matches the Rfam family "Bacterial small subunit ribosomal RNA", at positions 524 to 794 of the family's 1533-position model. The record is from RNAcentral.
UACGGAGGGUGCGAGCGUUAAUCGGAAUUACUGGGCGUAAAGGGCGCGUAGGCGGCCGAUCAAGUCAGAUGUGAAAGCCCACGGCUUAACUUCGGAACUGCAUCUGAAACUGUGUCUCUUGAGUGCUGGAGAGGAAAGCGGAAUUCCUAGUGUAGCGGUGAAAUGCGUAGAUAUUAGGAGGAACACCAGUGGCGAAGGCGGCUUUCUGGACAGUAACUGACGCUGAGGCGCGAAAGCGUGGGGAGCAAACAGGAUUAGAUACCCGUGUAGU